This 222-nucleotide long non-coding RNA is filed under the name Vigna radiata. RNAcentral's name for it is "long non-coding RNA (VRAD_LNC001604)". Lineage: Eukaryota; Viridiplantae; Streptophyta; Magnoliopsida; Fabales; Fabaceae. The record is from RNAcentral.
GGUGGGAGAAUAUUAUAAUUAUGAGUAGGUAUGAAGGUAGAAUGAUGAAAUGACAAUUAAUUUGUUGGACAUUUUUGUAAGAACUUGUAUAAAGAAAAUAAAUUUAUUUUAUUCAUAAACUAGAAGCCAUAGUAAUAAAAUAAAAUUAUUAAAAUAGAUCUAUUAAGAAGAUGUCUAUUUUACAUCUUUUGAAAAAGGAAAAAUAUUUUGGAUUUAGGGCAU